RNAcentral lists this unclassified non-coding RNA (562 nucleotides) under Fusarium avenaceum. Its description in RNAcentral is "sequence contains 18S rRNA gene, ITS1, 5.8S rRNA gene, ITS2, 28S rRNA gene". The stretch from base 195 to 348 matches the Rfam family "5.8S ribosomal RNA". The record is from RNAcentral. Lineage: Eukaryota; Fungi; Ascomycota; Sordariomycetes; Hypocreales; Nectriaceae.
UCGUAACAAGGUCUCCGUUGGUGAACCAGCGGAGGGAUCAUUACCGAGUUUACAACUCCCAAACCCCUGUGAACAUACCUUAAUGUUGCCUCGGCGGAUCAGCCCGCGCCCCGUAAAACGGGACGGCCCGCCAGAGGACCCAAACUCUAAUGUUUCUUAUUGUAACUUCUGAGUAAAACAAACAAAUAAAUCAAAACUUUCAACAACGGAUCUCUUGGUUCUGGCAUCGAUGAAGAACGCAGCAAAAUGCGAUAAGUAAUGUGAAUUGCAGAAUUCAGUGAAUCAUCGAAUCUUUGAACGCACAUUGCGCCCGCUGGUAUUCCGGCGGGCAUGCCUGUUCGAGCGUCAUUUCAACCCUCAAGCCCCCGGGUUUGGUGUUGGGGAUCGGCUCUGCCUUCUGGCGGUGCCGCCCCCGAAAUACAUUGGCGGUCUCGCUGCAGCCUCCAUUGCGUAGUAGCUAACACCUCGCAACUGGAACGCGGCGCGGCCAUGCCGUAAAACCCCAACUUCUGAAUGUUGACCUCGGAUCAGGUAGGAAUACCCGCUGAACCUAAGCAUAUCA